CAAAGGGAGAGGAGGCUCCCCGGCGGCAUCAGAAGGCGCAUAGCGACCCUUUCCUGGAGGGGGUGCCGGAUGCGGGGUUGUGGCGCCCCCGACGACUCCCGAAAGCAAGGCAACUUCAGGCCGGCUCGUUUGCUCUGUGCUCCGGUCGGCAGGUUUCUCCUCUGGAAGCGGCACUUGGAGCGAGGUACAGCUGUUCCCUCCAGCUUGGCGUUGAUCUGCGACAGGAACCCCACAAUUUGGAAGAUCCCUAACACGGGCAAUGGGCUGGAAGGCCAGGAAGUCGGGUUCUCCCUUUGCAAAACAGCCCCACACCGCAACACACACGGUUUGUAGGAGUGAAGCUGGCAGCAGAAUAAUGGGAAACCGCAGGAAUCACGAGAGUCAGGUCAUUGCAGCAACUCCUCGGAUUUGGCGAUUAAUGCUUAAUGGCCUGAUUCCAGAUACAUUGGGCACAGCCCUACAAAAAUCGAGACCAACGUACGCUGGUUUGUGCCCAUUAUACAGAAGCGACUUCCCUUGGGGGAAAGAAAUGCUUGAAAUAGUAGUACAAUGUUACCAUAAUUAUGCAGACAUUGCUGAAAAAUAUCUUAUCUUUUUAAAAGGUCGACCUAAAUAAAGCGUGGAACGAAGA
Molecule: long non-coding RNA, 631 nt
Organism: Hemicordylus capensis (graceful crag lizard)
Lineage: Eukaryota; Metazoa; Chordata; Lepidosauria; Squamata; Cordylidae
Exons: 2
Source: RefSeq, a predicted model, not a curated record